AAUUGGAGGGCAAGUCUGGUGCCAGCAGCCGCGGUAAUUCCAGCUCCAAUAGCGUAUAUUAAAGUUGUUGCAGUUAAAAAGCUCGUAGUUGAAUUUCGGGGUCAGUAGGCUGGUCAUGCCACUGGUAUGUACUGAUCUUACUGAUUCCUCCUUCCUGAUGAACCGUAAUGCCAUUAAUUUGGUGUUGCGGGGAGACUGGACUGUUACUUUGAAAAAAUUAGAGUGUUUAAAGCAGGCUAACGCUUGAAUACAUUAGCAUGGAAUAAUGAAAUAGGACGUUCGAUCCUAUUUUGUUGGUUUCUAGGAUAGACGUAACGAUUAAUAGGGAUAGUUGGGGGCAUUAGUAUUCAAUUGUCAGAGGUGAAAUUCUUGGAUUUAUUGAAGACUAACUACUGCGAAAGCAUUUGCCAAGGAUGUUUUCAUUAAUCAAGAACGAAAGUUAGGGGAUCGAAGACGAUCAGAUACCGUCGUAGUCUUAACCAUAAACUAUGCCGACUAGGGAUCGGAUGAUGUUAAUUUUUUAAUGACUCAUUCGGCGCCUUACGGGAAACCAAAGUGU
This 559-nucleotide ribosomal RNA is filed under the name uncultured Glomus. RNAcentral's name for it is "SSU rRNA". It matches the Rfam family "Eukaryotic small subunit ribosomal RNA", at positions 546 to 1106 of the family's 1831-position model. Lineage: Eukaryota; Fungi; Glomeromycota; Glomeromycetes; Glomerales; Glomeraceae. The record is from RNAcentral.